Molecule: ribosomal RNA, 256 nt
Filed under: uncultured bacterium
Lineage: Bacteria
Description: partial 16S ribosomal RNA
Rfam family: Bacterial small subunit ribosomal RNA
Source: RNAcentral
UAAUACGGAGGAUGCAAGCGUUAUCCGGAUUCAUUGGGUUUAAAGGGUGCGUAGGCGGGGCGGUAAGUCAGUGGUGAAAGCCUGCAGCUUAACUGUAGAAUUGCCAUUGAUACUGUCGCUCUUGAAUGCGGUUGAGGCAGGCGGAAUGUGUAAUGUAGCGGUGAAAUGCUUAGAUAUUACACAGAACACCGAUUGCGUAGGCAGCUUGCUAAACCGUGAUUGACGCUGAGGCACGAAAGCGUGGGGAGCAAACAGG